This 2761-nucleotide unclassified non-coding RNA is filed under the name Hevea brasiliensis (rubber tree). Lineage: Eukaryota; Viridiplantae; Streptophyta; Magnoliopsida; Malpighiales; Euphorbiaceae. The record is from RNAcentral.
GGAUUCAGGAGCAUAUCUUGAGCGUAAGGUUGCAGGAUUACAUAUGGUGAGGAUUCAACACAAGGAUUUCACUAACUAUAAAUGGGGAUAUCAGGUACUUUACUUCUACCCAUGCAAUUAUAAUUCUGCUCUCUACAGCAGGAUAUAUCCUUGCUUAUUUUGAUGUGCUCAUUUUCUUUAUAUUAGCACUCUAUGACUUAUUCAGACAUAUAUGCCUGAAGUGAAGGUUAUCAUAUACCUUUCUUCUACAUUUUACACAUGGACUCCAUAAUUAGUGAGAUUGUUCUGAUCCUUCUAAAAUAUUUGAUUGAUGAAGGUUGGGUUGUUAGGAGAGAAGUUACAAAUUUACACAGAUGAUGCAACAAAUAAAGUUCAAUGGAAUAAGUUUGGAAGCUCUACUUAUCAACCACUCAUAUGGUAUAAGGUAUGAAAAAUUCAUUUGCUAAUUCUUAUUUCAAUUUGAUUAUGCACAUGUUGUCACAAAGUGAGAGAAAGUCAAAAUUACAUAAUCAACAUAUCAUUCACUUUGAGCACAAAAUGAAGAAUAAAAUGGAUCAUAUCAAUUUUUUUUUUCAUAAAUUUUCAGAUAUUAUAACCAAAACAACACAGCACAAUUAUUUCUUGGUAUAUUUACUACAAUUAAAACAUCCACCUAACUUUUUCUCUCAUUUGUAAUUGCCAGACUCUGUUUGAUGCACCAUCAGGGAAUGACCCAGUUGCACUGAACCUUAGUUCCAUGGGAAAGGGUGAAGUUUGGGUUAAUGGCCAGAGCAUUGGCCGAUAUUGGGUCUCAUUUCACACACCCAAAGGAAAACCUUCCCAAACAAGGUAUUUUGACUUGGGUAUUAUCAAUUUAUCACGCAAACAUUUUAUAAGGUCACGCCAUAACAUUUUUUUUUCAAAUGCAAUGAAACUCAAAUUUUUUUUAACAAAACUAGUGAUUUGUGUUUUGUUACUCAAAUGCCUUUCAUCUUUUACAUAUGGCUGAACUAUUAUUCUAGGUACCAUAUACCUCGAUCUUUCUUGAGACCAACAGGCAACUUAUUAGUUCUACUAGAAGAAGAGAAAGGGUAUCCCCCUAGGAUUACUCUAGACACUAUUUCAAUCAGAAACAUCUGUGGACAUGUAUCUGAAUCACAUUCCUCAGCAGUUCAGCUCAUUUGUCCUCCAAAAAGGAAUAUUUCCAGGAUCCUAUUUGCAAGCUUUGGAACUCCUGUGGGUAGUUGUGGAAGUUAUGCCAUUGGAAACUGUCACUCAUCCACUUCUAGAGCCAUUGUAGAAAAGGUGAGCUUCAUUUCCUAUAAUUUAAAUUCAAUUUUUGAAUUUCAGUACUUAAUGCUUAGCAUUGUAGACAAGGGGAUUAGACGAGACCAGGAAAUAAAGGAAUUUCAACCGUGGAGUUAAGGGUGCAUUACUUUUAAGGAAAAAUGAAUUCCAUUUUCCAUCACCAUUUUUACAUUUGUUACUGUGACCUAGGGGCCACAUGUAAAAACCAUGAAUAAAACCUCUUGCAAUUAAAGGGAUAGGUAAGGAAGUCUUGUGCAGAACACACUUUUUGCAUGCAAAAGGUAGAAAAUGAGUUUAAUUAAUCAAACCGAGAACAUUUUCUUAGAGCUUAAAUCUAGGAAAAAUUAAAAUACUAGUUCUCAAAGUCUGAUUUAAAUUGAGAUAAUGGAAAACCUGGCUAAUAAAAAUGAAAUAACCUCCUCCAGAACAGCUAAACAGAUUAUAGCAGUUUCCUAUUUUCUUGGAAAAUUUUCUUAAAACUGGAAAAAAAUCUCCUCUAGGAAAAUGAGCCUAAAAAGUUUCAUAUAUUUAAUUUCUUCUUUUCCAAAUGAUAUAUUAUAAAGUAGAACCUUGUUCCAUUUAUUUGAUUUUUUUUAAAAUUUUUUUAGAUAAACUCCAUGAAUUUGAUGUUGAUGUAAAUAAAGAACACAAUGCAUCAUUUCUUGAUAUAACUUUAUGUAGAAUUUAUUGGAAUAUAAUUUUGCAGGUAUGUAUUGGGAAGAGGAAGUGUUCAAUCUUCCAAUCAAAUCAAUUUUUUGAUGGUGACCCGUGUCCAGGCAUCCCUAAAGCUCUGCUAGUUGAGGCCAAAUGCACAUGACAGAUAGGAGUUCUUUAUUAAGGUAGUCAACAAAUUUUAAAUUCAACUUUUUAAAAUUUAAAUGUAGAUGGACAAUGAAUCAUUUAGGGAUGUCAUCAUUAAUCUAGAUACUUAAGUCCUAUUCUCAAACUCUUCGUUUAUUUUCUUCUCUAGUGUAUAUCUUUUUUCAGUUCUAUUAAUUUCUUUCACUUAUCAGGGCAGAAAGAGGAAAAACUAAAAGAAACAAAAGUCUCAUAUUAUUUAAUUGGAUUUUAUAAAUAUAUGCAAUCAUUCACUCACAAAAUUUUUAUUUUUGCAUAUAGAGAUCAAUGACCUUCUUUCUUCAUUGAUAAAACUUGAUGUGAAUUAUAUGAAUCAAGAUAAAGGUUCUGCAUGAUGAAUUGAAAGGGCUUUCAAAAAUAAAUAACAUGAGAAAAAGGUGUAACAAAUGCUCUAAAAUGCUAAGGUCUAAAAAGUAAAUAAAUGCUCCAUAUUAGUGACCUACUCCUCUAUAGGCAGUAAGUUUUCUUGCAUUUGUGCUUCUUUACAAUUAGAAAGUGAGGAACAAAACAACAAUGUAAAAAGUAUUUAAUUUCCAAGAGCAGAAAGAUAUCAUUAUAGUCUCAAGGACCAGGAUUUUAAAUCAGCCAUGCAGUGUACUAAAAAGAGAGGAGUUUU